Molecule: RNA transcript, 2509 nt
Organism: Alosa sapidissima (American shad)
Lineage: Eukaryota; Metazoa; Chordata; Actinopteri; Clupeiformes; Clupeidae
Exons: 6
Source: RefSeq, a predicted model, not a curated record
UGGCAACAGGUUGAUACUUUAACUCUUCUAACUGUUUUGAUCAUCUUCCAAAAAAUGAAAAAGGCUCGUGAUAAAGUUAAAAGUGAGAGUGGAACAGCAGGUCCCUCCCAGCAUGAACAGUGUUCAUCAGGACGCAGUCAUAGCUCCAGCUCAGGAUCUGCCCCUGGCUUUUUGGAAGAGACUCACCUUUCUUCUUUUCAGGAGUGUAUACUGAAUUUCUCUGAAGAGGAGUGGGAGGAUUUCAGCAGCCUGCUGAACACUCCUAUGACAAGGACUCAGUUCUCCGAACUCUGCAUGGCCAUCUUGAAGGUAGUGAGUCUUAGCUCCAUGACAGUGAUUGUACCUGCGUACGUCUCCGUGGCGAAGGAUGCUGGAACUCCAGUCAGCAGAACCUCAACAUCCACAACCUUUUCCCUCACCUCAAUUGAAAGGUCACUGGCUGGGUCAAUGGACACCGAUGGGGAGUUCCUGGAUAAGAGCAGUUCAAUCAGAAGUGGCUCUGCUGCAUCACCUGAAAUGACAAGUGGCCCUUUGAGAGAAAUGAUGCACAGGAUGAAAGCUGCCCUGGCUACCUUGAGGAGAACUCAUACCUCUGAGGUCUCUGUGACAGCUGUUUUACGCUCUGUGUCCAAACUCUCCACUCACACUGGUGAGCACAUCGUAUCCAACGUCUCUGAAGCCAUGAGAGAUGCGCAACAUGGAAAUACAUUCCACGACUCGACUUGCAUCAACACAAUCCUGGAAAGGCUCGUAUCCAGUGGGAAUAUCCACAAGAUCGCCAAGAACCUUGUCAGUCACCUUCAGGAUGUCCUCAUGAAUGAAAACGUCAGCCGGACAUCCAUUCCUGUGGCUGCUAGUGGAAGCACAUCAGAUUCUGAGACUUUGCCAAAUGGAACUCCAAAGCGGACUUUAAGUGCCUCUCACAUGGUUUACUCCUACGCAGAAGAAGCCAUCAAGGAUUUGCUUCAACCGUAUUUUCUUCCUGGUAUGGUUCAGAGCGCCGGUGAGGAUGUUGCCUCGGCCAGAGUUCCUCUUCUCAGGAUUCAAAGCUUCCAAUCUUCUGAUGCAGGAAGAAGUAUCCCCCAUGUGCCCUCUGAAGCGGAGUGCAAAUUUAAAGAUGUGGCCAAUCUGUUGACUCGAGUGAUGACCUUCCAGGUCAUGUAUAUAGUUGAUUCCGAGCUGGAGAAACAUCAAAAGUCAUCUUCUUCCCGGUUGUCUGAUAGAUCCAGGAUGCUGUCAUCAGCUGUUAGAGACGUAGAUGACACAGCUAUGGAACGUUCCUCCACUCGACCCCCUCUGCUUCAUACCAACCCUGAUCACUAUGGCGGUCGGUUCUCUGAAAGUGGUUUCUUUCAGAAUUGAGAUAUUCUGACUCUGCUCAGUCUGGUGCAGUGGAUGACGUCAGAGCCACCACAUCCUCUACCAGGAGCCAAAGUGCCAAAUCUGCCACUGCAGAUCAUGAGCCAGACAUGGCACUGAACUACGCAUCCCAGAAACUUGGGGACCCACUAGAUCUGUUCACCAGGGUUAUGGUUCACCAGGUCAUGGAUAUCCUCCACGUGGAACUGACCAGGCACCAAACUGAAGUUGGCCCCAUUGUGCAGCAUCAGAGUGCAGGACGUCCAUCCACCGGGACCUCUGUGCCAGACAGCAGUGACUAUGGCUGUCUUGUCACAGUUCUGAUGCUCAGACUGCUGGCCAAAAUCAUGGAUCAACAAACUGCCUCUGCCGAUAUGACGGAUUCCUCCCGAGAGUUGAUUCAGAAAGUCCUCUCUGAGUUCAGCAGUGCCUCAGGAACGCCGAACUUCCUGACAUAUGAAAGCAACACCAAGAUCCAGACUUUGUACAGAAGCAUGGACAAGUUCCUUCUGAAGGAGUUUGGACCUGAGGCCAUCCUGCAAAGAGCUGUGGAGACACAGGAUGUCUCCUUUGAUAACAUCUUGCUCACGGCAUUGAGGAAAGAGCUGCUGCCUCAUUGUGACACAGAGGCAACUUCUCCCCCAUCAACUCCGACUGCUGCACCCUCUGAGCCACUUGAACCUGUGCCUGGAGCAGCAUCUGGGCAAACCACCAGGAAGAGGCCCAAACUGAGGUUCAGUAUGAAGAUGCCAAAAAGACGCAGCAAGAAGGUGGCUCCCACUAGUGCCUUUUCUGACUCAAGUAAGUUUUAAUACUAUUAUUGGUGGUGUUGUUGAUGAUGGUGUUUCUGUAGCUGAUGUUGUUCGGUUUGGUGCUCAUUUUUCCUCUCUUCGGCAGCUGGGCAUGUGGAGAGUCCAGCCUCUCGUACACCAUCUAAUAAGGCUACUCCUGUUGUGUCUGUGUCGGGCCAGAAGACUCGUAAACGCUCCUUUUUCAUCAGGAUGUUCGCUUGCUGCAUUCAAGGCACAUCUGAACCUUGAACAUUUACUCUCUCUCUUUCUCCCUCUCUGUCUGUCUUUCUCUCUCUCUCUCUCUCUCUCUCUCUCUCUCUCACACACACCUUUCCAUGAAUAAAUUCACCUUUCCCUAA